UACGUAGGGGGCUAGCGUUGUCCGGAAUCAUUGGGCGUAAAGCGCGUGUAGGCGGUCCGGUAAGUCCGCUGUGAAAGUCGGGGGCUCAACCCUCGAAUGCCGGUGGAUACUGUCGGGCUAGAGUGCGGAAGAGGCGAGUGGAAUUCCCGGUGUAGCGGUGAAAUGCGCAGAUAUCGGGAGGAACACCAAUGGCGAAGGCAGCUCGCUGGGACGUGACUGACGCUGAGACGCGAAAGCCAGGGGAGCGAACGGG
This 253-nucleotide ribosomal RNA is filed under the name uncultured bacterium. RNAcentral describes it as "partial 16S ribosomal RNA". It matches the Rfam family "Bacterial small subunit ribosomal RNA", at positions 524 to 776 of the family's 1533-position model. The record is from RNAcentral.